Long non-coding RNA from Dendronephthya gigantea, 385 nucleotides. RefSeq lists it as uncharacterized. Lineage: Eukaryota; Metazoa; Cnidaria; Anthozoa; Malacalcyonacea; Nephtheidae. The transcript is spliced from 2 exons. The record is from RefSeq and is a predicted model, not a curated record.
CAGUCAGUUGCCAUUAAAUUAAGGAACUCCGAGCCUUGGGCGAAAAAUAUGAAGGUUUCUUCUGUGCUUUUGGUCGCUUUGAUAAUCCUGGCUGGUUUUGAGGUAGAAGAUGGGAUUGCCUGGUUAUUUGAUGGUUCGGUUCCAGACGACAAAAAUUUGGAAAGAUGUACGAAAUACAAGUUGCGUAAUCCAUGUUCAAACGACGCAGACUGCCAAGGAGGAUGUGAUGGUCAUGGUUUAACUUUGAAAUGUCACAAUGGUAUAUGUGACGUGUAUUGACUUGACAGACUUGAUUACUGUGAAAAAGUAUUCAUGUAACUGAUGUAAGGACGAAAAAUAAAAGCGAAUAUAUAAAUUGAGGGAUAAAUAAAAUCAUGCAAAUAUA